GUGUAGCGAGCGGGGGCGGUGGGGGGAGUGAGUAGGGUGUGAGGGGGAAUGUGGAUGCCUGGGGGGAAAGCGGGGGGAGGCGGUUGGGGAAGACAGGGAUGAGAUCCGCGGGCUUAACCUGGGAGUUGCGCUUGGGACUGCCAGGCUAGAGUACGGCAGAGGGGGGUGGAAUGCCACGUGUAGCAGUGAAAUGCGUAGAGAUGUGGAGGAACACCAAUGGCGAAGGCAGCCCCCUGGGUCGAUACUGACGCUCAUGCACGAAAGCGUGGGUAGCAAACAGGAUUAGAUACCCUAGUAGUC
Molecule: ribosomal RNA, 300 nt
Filed under: uncultured Sulfophobococcus sp.
Lineage: Archaea; Thermoproteati; Thermoproteota; Thermoprotei; Desulfurococcales; Desulfurococcaceae
Description: partial 16S ribosomal RNA
Rfam family: Bacterial small subunit ribosomal RNA (bases 59-300)
Source: RNAcentral